GUGAACGAGCGACGCCGCGUGCGGGAUGAAGGCUCUCGGGUCGUAAACCGCUUUCAGCAGGGAUGAAAUUGACAGUACCUGCAGAAGAAGCCCCGGCUAAAUACGUGCCAGCAGCCGCGGUAAUACGUAUGGGGCAAGCGUUAUCCGGAUUCAUUGGGCGUAAAGAGCGCGUAGGCGGAUUGUUAAGUCAGAUGUGAAAACUGGGGGCUCAACCCGCAGCCUGCAUCUGAAACUGGCAGUCUUGAGUCUGGUAGAGGAGUGUGGAAUUCCCAGUGUAGCGGUGAAAUGCGCAGAUAUUGGGAGGAACACCAGUGGCGAAGGCGGCACUCUGGGCCACGACUGACGCUGAGGCGCGAAAGCUAGGGGAGCAAACAGGAUUAGAUACCCUGGUAGUCCUAGCCGUAAACGAU
Molecule: ribosomal RNA, 410 nt
Filed under: uncultured Coriobacteriia bacterium
Lineage: Bacteria; Bacillati; Actinomycetota; Coriobacteriia
Description: bacterial SSU rRNA
Rfam family: Bacterial small subunit ribosomal RNA
Source: RNAcentral